Pelobates cultripes (western spadefoot toad) is the source of this 70-nucleotide non-coding RNA. Lineage: Eukaryota; Metazoa; Chordata; Amphibia; Anura; Pelobatidae. The record is from the annotation of a GenBank genome assembly.
UGUCAUCCGAUUAAUGUGUGUGUGUGUGUAUAUGUAUAUAUACACACACACACACUAAUCGGAUGACAUC